RNAcentral lists this unclassified non-coding RNA (440 nucleotides) under Temnopteryx sericea. RNAcentral describes it as "partial external transcribed spacer". The record is from RNAcentral. Lineage: Eukaryota; Viridiplantae; Streptophyta; Magnoliopsida; Gentianales; Rubiaceae.
GCAGGAUCAACCAGGUAGCAUUCCUUAUUGACACCGGCACUACGCGACGAUGCCAGCGACCCGAAGGCGCAGCACCCCAACGCAACGUCGGACGUCAUUCGCUUCUAGCGGAGUACGCUAUUUUUCGGCCAACAAGAGAUCGUACGACCCCAAACCGUCUUAGUAUUCCGCAUCCGAGGGUUCAAGCACAGGUUCAUGGGCCGCAACUACACCACGACGAGUGAGUAGUACGGAACACAAACUUCGCUUCGGGGUUCACCCGCGAUCGUUUCCCGAGAAGGGCCGAUGUUAGGCGAAGGUUGGACUAGUAAACGGGCAAAUUCCAUUAAAGUAGGCAUGCAACACAGGAAACCGAGACAACGGCCAAGGUUAAAUUCGCUCUUGGGCCAAGUAAUGAAGAGGAAUGCAUGGAAGGACGUCGCUGCCCAAGCAGGGAUCCA